This 497-nucleotide ribosomal RNA is filed under the name uncultured bacterium. RNAcentral's name for it is "partial 16S ribosomal RNA". It matches the Rfam family "Bacterial small subunit ribosomal RNA", at positions 28 to 507 of the family's 1533-position model. The record is from RNAcentral.
GAUGAACGCUGGCGGCGUGCCUAAUACAUGCAAGUCGAGCGAACGGACGGGAAGCUUGCUUCUCUGAUGUUAGCGGCGGACGGGUGAGUAACACGUGGAUAACCUACCUAUAAGACUGGGAUAACUUCGGGAAACCGGAGCUAAUACCGGAUAAUAUUUUGAACCGCAUGGUUCAAAAGUGAAAGACGGUCUUGCUGUCACUUAUAGAUGGAUCCGCGCUGCAUUAGCUAGUUGGUAAGGUAACGGCUUACCAAGGCAACGAUGCAUAGCCGACCUGAGAGGGUGAUCGGCCACACUGGACCUGAGACACGGUCCAGACUCCUACGGGAGGCAGCAGUAGGGAAUCUUCCGCAAUGGGCGAAAGCCUGACGGAGCAACGCCGCGUGAGUGAUGAAGGUCUUCGGAUCGUAAAACUCUGUUAUUAGGGAAGAACAUAUGUGUAAGUAACUGUGCACAUCUUGACGGUACCUAAUCAGAAAGCCACGGCUAACUACGUG